RNAcentral lists this ribosomal RNA (465 nucleotides) under uncultured bacterium. RNAcentral's name for it is "partial 16S ribosomal RNA". It matches the Rfam family "Bacterial small subunit ribosomal RNA", at positions 338 to 795 of the family's 1533-position model. The record is from RNAcentral.
CCUACGGGUGGCAGCAGUGGGGAAUAUUGCGCAAUGGGCGAAAGCCUGACGCAGCGACGCCGCGUGAGGGAUGAAGGUCUUCGGAUCGUAAACCUCUGUCAGCAGGGAAGAACGGUCACUUUGCUAAUCAGCAGUGAAUUGACGGUACCUGCAAAGGAAGCACCGGCUAACUCCGUGCCAGCAGCCGCGGUAAUACGGAGGGUGCGAGCGUUAAUCGGAAUUACUGGGCGUAAAGCGCUCGUAGGCGGUAUGUCAAGUCAAGGGUGAAAUCCCCGCGCUCAACGUGGGAACUGCCUUUGAAACUGGCAAACUGGAGGGUGGGAGAGGAUAGUGGAAUUCCAGGUGUAGGAGUGAAAUGCGUAGAUAUCUGGAGGAACAUCAGUGGCGAAGGCGACUAUCUGGCACAUAACUGACGCUGAGGAGCGAAAGCGUGGGUAGCAAACAGGAUUAGAUACCCUUGUAGUC